Molecule: ribosomal RNA, 759 nt
Filed under: uncultured bacterium
Lineage: Bacteria
Description: bacterial SSU rRNA
Rfam family: Bacterial small subunit ribosomal RNA
Source: RNAcentral
UUAGAGUUUGAUCCUGGCUCAGAGCGAACGCUGGCGGCAGGCUUAACACAUGCAAGUCGAGCGGGCGUAGCAAUACGUCAGCGGCAGACGGGUGAGUAACGCGUGGGAACGUACCUUUUGGUUCGGAACAACACAGGGAAACUUGUGCUAAUACCGGAUAAGCCCUUACGGGGAAAGAUUUAUCGCCGAAAGAUCGGCCCGCGUCUGAUUAGCUAGUUGGUGAGGUAACGGCUCACCAAGGCGACGAUCAGUAGCUGGUCUGAGAGGAUGAUCCGCCACAUUGGGACUGAAGACACGGCCCAAACUCCUACGGGAGGCAGCAGUGGGGAAUAUUGGACAAUGGGGGCAACCCUGAUCCAGCCAUGCCGCGUGAGUGAUGAAGGCCCUAGGGUUGUAAAGCUCUUUUGUGCGGGAAGAUAAUGACGGUACCGCAAGAAUAAGCCCCGGCUAACUUCGUGCCAGCAGCCGCGGUAAUACGAAGGGGGCUAGCGUUGCUCGGAAUCACUGGGCGUAAAGGGUGCGUAGGCGGAUCUUUAAGUCAGAGGUGAAAGCCUGGAGCUCAACUCCAGAACUGCCUUUGAUACUGGGGAUCUUGAGUUCGGGAGAGGUGAGUGGAACUGCGAGUGUAGAGGUGAAAUUCGUAGAUAUUAGCAAGAACACCAGUGGCGAAGGCGGCUCACUGGCCCGAUACUGACGCUGAGGCACGAAAGCGUGGGGAGCAAACAGCCUUAGAUACCCUGGUAGUCCACGCCGUAAACG